RNAcentral lists this ribosomal RNA (575 nucleotides) under uncultured fungus. RNAcentral describes it as "eukaryotic LSU rRNA". The stretch from base 218 to 371 matches the Rfam family "5.8S ribosomal RNA". Lineage: Eukaryota; Fungi. The record is from RNAcentral.
AUUUAGAGGAAGUAAAAGUCGUAACAAGGUCUCCGUAGGUGAACCUGCGGAGGGAUCAUUACAAGUGACCCCGGUCUAACCGCCGGGAUGUUCAUAACCCUUUGUUGUCCGACUCUGUUGCCUCCGGGGCGACCCUGCCUUCGGGCGGGGGCUCCGGGUGGACACUUCAAACUCUUGCGUAACUUUGCAGUCUGAGUAAACUUAAUUAAUAAAUUAAAACUUUUAACAACGGAUCUCUUGGUUCUGGCAUCGAUGAAGAACGCAGCGAAAUGCGAUAAGUAAUGUGAAUUGCAGAAUUCAGUGAAUCAUCGAAUCUUUGAACGCACAUUGCGCCCCCUGGUAUUCCGGGUGGCAUGCCUGUUCGAGCGUCAUUUCACCACUCAAGCCUCGCUUGGUAUUGGGCAUCGCGGUCCGCCGCGUGCCUCAAAUCGACCGGCUGGGUCUUCUGUCCCCUAAGCGUUGUGGAAACUAUUCGCUAAAGGGUGUUCGGGAGGCUACGCCGUAAAACAACCCCGUUUCUAAGGUUGACCUCGGAUCAGGUAGGGCUACCCGCUGAACUUAAGCAUAUCAAUAAG